GGUAGCCCACGCCCUAAACGUUGCGAACUAGGUGUUGGUGGGAUUGACCCCAUCAGUGCCGCAGCUAACGCAUUAAGUUCGCCGCCUGGGAAGUACGGCCGCAAGGUUAAAACUCAAAGGAAUAGGCGGGGCCCGCACAAGCAGCGGAGCGUGUGGUUUAAUUCGAUGUGACGCGAAGAACCUUACCUGGGCUUGACAUGUUUCGGCAACCUCGGUGAAAGCCGGGGGCCUCUCGCAAGAGACCGUUGCACAGGUGGUGCAUGGCUGUCGUCAGCUCGUGCCGUGAGGUGUUGGGUUAAG
This 300-nucleotide ribosomal RNA is filed under the name uncultured bacterium. RNAcentral's name for it is "bacterial SSU rRNA". It matches the Rfam family "Bacterial small subunit ribosomal RNA", at positions 789 to 1084 of the family's 1533-position model. The record is from RNAcentral.